CCUACGGGUGGCAGCAGUGGGGAAUAUUGGACAAUGGGCGAAAGCCUGAUCCAGCCAUGCCGCGUGUGUGAAGAAGGCCUUCGGGUUGUAAAGCACUUUCAGUGGGGAAGAAAGCCUUGGGGCUAAUACCCUCGAGGAAGGACAUCACCCACAGAAGAAGCACCGGCUAACUCCGUGCCAGCAGCCGCGGUAAUACGGAGGGUGCGAGCGUUAAUCGGAAUUACUGGGCGUAAAGCGCGCGUAGGCGGUCUGAUAAGCCGGUUGUGAAAGCCCCGGGCUCAACCUGGGAACGGCAUCCGGAACUGUCAGGCUAGAGUGCAGGAGAGGAAGGUAGAAUUCCCGGUGUAGCGGUGAAAUGCGGAGAGAUCGGGAGGAAUACCCGUGGCGAAGGCGGCCUUCUGGACUGACACUGACGCUGAGGUGCGAAAGCGUGGGUAGCAAACAGGAUUAGAUACCCCUGUAGUC
This 465-nucleotide ribosomal RNA is filed under the name Vreelandella stevensii. Its description in RNAcentral is "partial 16S ribosomal RNA". It matches the Rfam family "Bacterial small subunit ribosomal RNA", at positions 338 to 795 of the family's 1533-position model. The record is from RNAcentral. Lineage: Bacteria; Pseudomonadati; Pseudomonadota; Gammaproteobacteria; Oceanospirillales; Halomonadaceae.